UACGUAGGGUGCGAGCGUUGUCCGGAAUUAUUGGGCGUAAAGAGCUUGUAGGCGGUUUGUCGCGUCUGCCGUGAAAAUCCGGGGCUCAACCCCGGACUUGCGGUGGGUACGGGCAGACUAGAGUGUGGUAGGGGAGACUGGAAUUCCUGGUGUAGCGGUGAAAUGCGCAGAUAUCAGGAGGAACACCGGUGGCGAAGGCGGGUCUCUGGGCCGAUACUGACGCUGAGGCACGAAAGCUAGGGGAGCAAACAGG
This 253-nucleotide ribosomal RNA is filed under the name uncultured bacterium. RNAcentral's name for it is "partial 16S ribosomal RNA". It matches the Rfam family "Bacterial small subunit ribosomal RNA", at positions 524 to 776 of the family's 1533-position model. The record is from RNAcentral.